Long non-coding RNA from Myotis brandtii (Brandt's bat), 105 nucleotides. RefSeq lists it as uncharacterized. Lineage: Eukaryota; Metazoa; Chordata; Mammalia; Chiroptera; Vespertilionidae. The record is from RefSeq and is a predicted model, not a curated record. The transcript is spliced from 3 exons.
AGGGGGCAGGAGACGGGGUGAAAAAUAUGAAGGGACUAAGAAGUGCAGAUUGGUAGUUACAGGAUAGUCAUGGGGAUGUAAAGUACAGCAGAGAGAAUAUAGUCA